RNAcentral lists this long non-coding RNA (4518 nucleotides) under Sus scrofa (pig). RNAcentral's name for it is "lncRNA (ENSSSCG00050071899.1)". Lineage: Eukaryota; Metazoa; Chordata; Mammalia; Artiodactyla; Suidae. The record is from RNAcentral.
GAGCCCACUCACAGCCCCCAGUGGUGGAAAGCCAAGCUUCCCUCUGCUGUCCCUGCUGCCUGUAGAUCACACAAGAGGCACCAUAUGAGACUUAGCAUCCCACUGCCCUUAGCCCACACAAGAGGUGCCAAGCCACCCAUAGCCUGCACAAGGAGCACCUGGUCUCCUGUAGCCUGAGCAAGUGGCUUCUCACCACACUUAGCCUGCAUCAGAGGUGCCCUGCCCUCUUAGAGCCACAGGUGCACACCUUAUGUCAAGAGUUCCUUGCCCUUUUUGGAGGUUUAAGUUCUUCUGCCAGUGUUCAGUAGAUAUUCUGUGUGAAUUGUUUCACAUGUAGAUGUGUUUGUGGGAGAAGGUGUGCAUGAUGUCUUACUUCUCUACCAUCUUGAUCCUUCUUCUCAAAAAUUACUUUUCUAUUCUGAUGUCUCAUAUGCCUAGAUAGAGGCAAAUGUAAUUGAUGUUAAGAAGUCUUUAUUUGAUUAGAUUUUGAAAAAAAUAUUUAAGUCUUUCGGGAAAAUAUUUAGUUGUCAUUUGUCAAUUUAAAUAUCAAAGCAAAAUCAGGAGUUCCCAUUGUGGCUCAGCAGCAAUGAACCCAACCAGUAUCCAUGAUGAUAUGGGUUCAAUCCUUGGCCCUAUUCAGUGGGUUAAGGAUCUAGCAUUGCUAUCAGCUAUGGUGUAGAUUGUAGAUGUGGCUCAGAUCUGGCAUUGCUAUGGCUGUGGUGUAGGCCAGUGGCUACAGCUCCAAUUUGACUCCUAGCCUGGGAACUUCCAUAUGCUUCAGGUACGGCCCUAAAAAUAAACAAAGAAACAAAUAAAUACAAAAGUAAAGUCAGUGUUUUUUCAGUAAUCUGUACAAAAUUUGUAAUUUUGAUAUAGUAGCCUAUAUGCAGGUUGGCCUGAAAACUGUUGCUGAUUGUAAGUAAUUCAGACUUUACAGGUCAUACAGUGAUGUAUUUCCUUAGUUCCUGGGAUCUGGCACUCUAACAAACUCUUAGAGCUGAAGCAGGAGCAGCCGUUUUUAUUAAAUAAAAAAAAAUCAUGUUAUACAAAGAACAAAACAAUUGCUUAGACAAGGGAUGUAAGAAUUUAGUUAUAUCUGACUCAAAUGAAAAUGAAAUAAGCUAAUUUUGAUUCAAAGCUGCAGACUUUGCCUAGUUGUGAAAUGAAGGGUUUGCGAGGUUGUUGUCACGGCAACCAGCACUGAGGGAGCUAAGCUUUGAGUGUCCUUGUCCUCCAUCACUGUCAGGUUAGAGAUCCCCUAUCUGGAGGAAUGGUGUUGGCGAGUUGGUAGGAAGAAAUCACCACUUACCAACAUUAAAUCUGUCCUUCAUAUAUUUACUCAUAGUUAUGAUUCUUACGUUACUAUCAGGUAACAAAUUGGAACUACUUCCAAUAGAAAACCAAAAGCUUUGGGGGUCUUUUUCUGCCUUUUAAAAAUACUUUGUUAGGGAUUUUCUCAAUUCAUUGCAUUUCUACACAGACCUCUGUUUACUUUGGGGAGCAAUUAGUUCUGGUCUUGCAGAAAUACAGUAAGGUGAUUUCCCUUCACUUACCUCUCUAUCCCUGACUUAGUUAUUCCCUUAACAGCACCAUAUAGUCAACAUGUUAAGAAAAAUUGAUGGCACAAUGAUUUUCUCAAGGUAGGGAAGAGAUUGAGGGGAUAUACAAUCUCUUUCAGAAGGUUUUCCGGAAGCUCCUUUAAGUAAAGAUGAGACCUACUGCUGUUGAAAGUCUCUUUAAGGAGCUGGCAGUAGUUUCUGAAACAGAAUUUUCAUUGAGAAUUUUCCAAAUCUUUCUCCCUACUUCUCUUCUACUAUUCACCUCCUUUUCUCCAUCAUCGCAAGAGUAAGUAUAAAAUGAACUCCUGUAGAUUGUUUGUUAACAUGGCUUAAUGACAGUUAACAUAGGAAAGAAUGUUGGAAACAUUUACAAAGUGGAAUAAUAGCAAUAAUAAUUUCCAAGCCUUUAAUGUGAGAUUUUACGCUAAACACUUUAUAUACUAAUAGUUCUUUUAAUUCUCAGUAAUCUAAUAAAAGAUAUUUUCAUCUUCAUAUAAAAAUGAAGAAAUUGAGUCUUAGGAAGGUUUAACAACUUGUUACACAGUCCAUAACUAGCAUGCAUCAGAACUAGAACUCAAAGAUUUUUUUGGCUCCCAAGUCUGUGGUUGUUAACUACUCUAUUGCCUUCAAGUCUUUAGGAAGUUGUUAGAUUGAUGUUAAUGUGACACUUUUCUUCUGAAUAACUGUCUAUUUCUUAUUAGACAAAAAUCAUAUCAAAUACCUACUGUUAUCACUGAUAAAGAGUCAGAUUUUCAUUUCAGAGGCUUUCUCUCACUCAAUGUAAGGAAGGAUCGUUCCUGGAAGUAGUGUCUCAUGUAGUAGGGAAAGGGCACUGAUUGGAAACCUAUUAAAACCACAUUUGAAUAACAAGGAAGGGGAGGAAGGAAAACUCUCAGAUAUGUUUAUUAAAAAUAUAAAGUCCAUAUAUUAAAAUAUCAUAGACAAUGCAGAUUAUCUGAAGAAUUAUAUUACUAUCAAAGUUUUGGCAAUAGAUUUCCAAUGGUCUUGGUCUCGAUAUCUUGGGGAAACUGUCUCAUCAGAUGUUGUUUGUUUUAAUUCUUGAUAACCUUUACUUUCAAUUUAUCAGAUAAUGUGCAGGUCUACUCAGGGCUGAGUGCUUUCUUUACAUGUGUCAUGUGAAUCCAAGAGUCUAUUCCUUGGAGUUUGGUGGUAUAAAUACUGAUUAGCAGUACUUGAUAUGGGCCUUCCCAAUGAGGUUGGAGAGAGUUCUUCUAGAGAUAUCUUUUCAAGCAGAUGAAAUUUCCAGAUUGCAAGGGUGAUACUUAACAUUUUUGUCUUCUGAGGGCACACCGUGAAAAGACUGCUCUAUCAAAACAAGGCUACUUUUAAUAGAAGCAGUUACACCUUUGCAAUAUUGGAGUAUGUCUCUUUUUAUCAGUUGUGGGUCCAAAGAAGCAUGAGGUAAGGCAUUGGAUGUCCUAUGACUAUAUGAAGGGAUGAGAGCUUAUGAGUUCCAAAAGGGCUGAUCUGAGAUUUAGGACCAAGGGCCAAGGUUUUUGGAAGACCUCUACAAAUUUCCCACUUGAGUCAUAAUAAUACUGUUAGCAUAUUAACUCAGAGAAUUGAGAAUGCUAAGAACAAUGAAGGUAUUGUAAAAUCAGCCAAACAUCGAAGACUUAUUGAGGCACCUGGACAGUAGAAUGGGUUCCUCCAUCAUUACGAAGUUGAAGAAGAGUUCCCCAGAUAAAGGUAAUCUUUCCUAAAAGGGGUUUAGCUACAGAAGAGAAAGUAGCCUGUCUUUAAGAGAAGGCUUUAGUCCAGUAUGAAAACAUUCAUACCAUGACUAAAAUAUAUUUACAUCCAUGAGACAGAGGAAGCUGUUUGAAAUCCAUCUUCUAGAUCUUGAAUGGUCCAUUAGCUGGUUUAUCAUGUCUGGGAGCAGUAAUGAACAGGCUUCCCUGGGUUAUACUUUGAACAAGUGAGGAAGGUACUUUUUGUAAUCUUGUUAAUGUUUCCUCACCAAUAUUCAUUCAAGAAAGCUAGCAUUUUUUUGUCAGUAACCAAGUGGUUUAAUACAUGUGCAAUGGUAAAGAGUGGGAAUUUUAAAGUCUCCAGUAGGAUGGGGUUAUUUGUUCCAAACCUGAAUUGUUUUUUGUUUUUGUUUUUUUUUUAAUCAAACUAACAAUCAUGAAAUUUCCAAUCUUGUUUUUCCUUUUCUGAGGCCAUUUGUUGGGCCUUUCUAGCCAGUUUUACUAAGUUAUCAUUUGGGGAAAUAUCCCUUUGUAGCAGGACAGAGGUUUGGCUGCUAUUAAUUCUUUAAUCACAGCAUUUCUUGCAGAAAUACAGUAAGGUGAUUUCCCUUCACUUCUAGAGAGUAGAGUUUAGAAUGUCCCGAAAUUUUAAUAAUAGCUUAAGUAGCAGGUAAAAGUAUUGCUUUAAAUAGGGAUAACUGUUAAUUUUAUUUCUACUGGAAGUUGGGAAGACUGUUGCUUCCACAACAUUCCAAAAUCAUGGGGUGCUCCAAAAUCAUAUCUACCGUCAGUAUACAUAUUGGCAGUUUUGUCCUUAACUAAAGUACAAGCCCACUUAAGAGCAUAUAAUUCAGCAUGUUGGACUGAAGUAGCCAUAGGUAAAGAUAGAGCCUCAACUAUAUCAAAAGAAGUUGUAACACCAAGCAUGCCCAGCAUAAUAUUCAUCAUUGUCACCUUAUAAUAAGAACCACCAGUGAACAAUGAGAAGUCAGCAAUACCCAAUUAAAUUUCUUGUAGAUCAUUAUGAGGAGCCAAGGGAUGGUCUUUCAGUGCUAAGUAGUCAUGACAUACUUUGUUGGUAACAGACAAAGCAGGGGAGAGAAGCAUGCUUAGGUUAUUACAAAGUAUAAGACUUAUGUAUGUGGCAGUUAACAAAAGGACUUCAUAGGAGGUGAGGUGACUACCUGGAGAUGUUGUGAUGAGAAUUCAGGAGAGCUUCUACUGAAUGAGGUACAAAAAUGGCUAGA